This 371-nucleotide RNase P RNA is filed under the name marine sediment metagenome. RNAcentral's name for it is "Bacterial RNase P class A". It matches the Rfam family "Bacterial RNase P class A". From Rfam's summary of the family: Ribonuclease P (RNase P) is a ubiquitous endoribonuclease, found in archaea, bacteria and eukarya as well as chloroplasts and mitochondria. The record is from RNAcentral. RNAcentral also lists the same sequence under 1 other name.
AGUCGGCCAGGCAGUCGCUGUCCCGCGAACCCAGGUUGGCGGGGUGGAGGAAAGUCCGGGCUCCAAAGGGCAAGACGCCAGGUAACACCUGGGGGGCGUGAGCCUACGGAAAGUGCAACAGAAAAGAUACCGCCGAUGGCCUUCGGGAUCAGGCAAGGUUGAAAUGGUGCGGUAAGAGCGCACCGCGCGGAUGGUAACAUGCGUGGCAAGGUAAACCCCGUCUGGAGCAAGAUCAAAUAGGGGGGCAUGGAUCCCAAGGGAUCUGAAAAUGUGGCCCACAUUGUCCCCGGGUAGAUCGCAUGAGGUAUGCAGUGAUGUGUAUCCCAGAUGAAUGACUGUCUACGACAGAACCCGGCUUAUCGGCCGACUUC